GUCCACGCCCUAAACGAUGGGUACUAAGUGUCGGCGGGUUACCGCCGGUGCCGCACCUAACGGAGUAAGUACCCCGCCUGGGGAGUACGGCCGCAAGGUUGAAACUCAAAGGAAUUGACGGGGGCCCGCACAAGCGGUGGUGCAUGUGGUUUAAUUCGACGCAACGCGAAAAACCUUACCCAGGCUUGACAUGCUAGUGGUAAGAACCGGAAACGGGGAUGACCCUGAAAGGGGAGCUAGCACAGGUGCUGCAUGGCUGUCGU
Molecule: ribosomal RNA, 263 nt
Filed under: uncultured bacterium
Lineage: Bacteria
Description: partial 16S ribosomal RNA
Rfam family: Bacterial small subunit ribosomal RNA
Source: RNAcentral